This 253-nucleotide ribosomal RNA is filed under the name uncultured bacterium. RNAcentral describes it as "partial 16S ribosomal RNA". It matches the Rfam family "Bacterial small subunit ribosomal RNA", at positions 524 to 776 of the family's 1533-position model. The record is from RNAcentral.
UACGUAGGGGGCGAGCGUUGUCCGGAAUUAUUGGGCGUAAAGGGCGUGUAGGCGGUUCGGUAAGUCUGCCGUGAAAACCUGGGGCUCAACCCCGGGCGUGCGGUGGAUACUGCCGGGCUAGAGGGUGGUAGAGGCGAGUGGAAUUCCGAGUGUAGCGGUGAAAUGCGCAGAUAUUCGGAGGAACACCAGUAGCGAAGGCGGCUCGCUGGGCCACAACUGACGCUGAGACGCGAAAGCGUGGGGAGCAAACAGG